Molecule: long non-coding RNA, 103 nt
Organism: Sander lucioperca (pikeperch)
Lineage: Eukaryota; Metazoa; Chordata; Actinopteri; Perciformes; Percidae
Exons: 3
Source: RefSeq, a predicted model, not a curated record
UCCACCGAGCCAAAAGUUCCACAGCGUCGGGAAGUAUCGUGUGAUAUCAGGUCUUGCGAUGCAACGAAUUGCUUCACGGCACUGCACACAUACGCCCAUUCAG